UUUCCGUAGGUGAACCUGCGGAAGGAUCAUUAUUGAAUAAACCUGGCUUGGUUGAUGCUGGUCCUUUCGGAGACAUGUGCACACCUUGUCAUCUUUAUAUCUCCACCUGUGCACCUUUUGUAGACCUGGAUUCAACUUUCCGAGGAAACUCGGUUGUGAGGAAUUGCUUAAUAGGCUUUCCUUGUUAGUUUCCAGGGCUAUGUUUUCAUAUACGCCUUAAGAAUGUAACAGAAUGUCAUUAUUAGGCUUAAUUGCCUUAUAAACUAUAUACAACUUUCAGCAACGGAUCUCUUGGCUCUC
RNAcentral lists this unclassified non-coding RNA (300 nucleotides) under plant metagenome. RNAcentral's name for it is "partial contains small subunit ribosomal RNA, internal transcribed spacer 1, and 5.8S ribosomal RNA". The record is from RNAcentral.